UGAGGAAUAUUGGUCAAUGGAGGCAACUCUGAACCAGCCAUGCCGCGUGCAGGAAGACUGCCCUAUGGGUUGUAAACUGCUUUUAUACAGGAAGAAACCUUCCCACGUGUGGGAAGCUGACGGUACUGUAAGAAUAAGGACCGGCUAACUCCGUGCCAGCAGCCGCGGUAAUACGGAGGGUCCAAGCGUUAUCCGGAAUCAUUGGGUUUAAAGGGUCCGCAGGCGGGCAAUUAAGUCAGAGGUGAAAUCCUAUAGCUCAACUAUAGAACUGCCUUUGAUACUGGUUGUCUUGAGUUACUUGGAAGUAGAUGGAAUAUGUGGUGUAGCGGUGAAAUGCAUAGAUAUCACAUAGAACACCGAUUGCGAAGGCAGUCUACUACGAGUAUACUGACGCUCAUGGACGAAAGCGUGGGGAGCGAACAGG
This 424-nucleotide ribosomal RNA is filed under the name uncultured bacterium. Its description in RNAcentral is "bacterial SSU rRNA". It matches the Rfam family "Bacterial small subunit ribosomal RNA", at positions 355 to 776 of the family's 1533-position model. The record is from RNAcentral.